Molecule: ribosomal RNA, 1413 nt
Filed under: uncultured organism
Description: bacterial SSU rRNA
Rfam family: Bacterial small subunit ribosomal RNA
Source: RNAcentral
GGCUCAGGAUGAACGCUAGCGGCAGGCUUAACACAUGCAAGUCGAGGGGUAAGGUUCUCUUCGGAGAAUACACGACCGGCGGACGGGUGAGUAACGCGUAUGCAACCUGCCUCUUACUGGAGAAUAGCUCCCGGAAACGGGAAUUAAUACUCCAUAUCUCAGUUUGUCUGCAUGGACAGACUGGGAAAGCUCCGGCGGUAAGAGAUGGGCAUGCGGGUCAUUAGCUUGUUGGUGUGGUAACGGCACACCAAGGCUACGAUGACUAGGGGGUCUGAAAGGAUGAUCCCCCACACUGGUACUGAGACACGGACCAGACUCCUACGGGAGGCAGCAGUGAGGAAUAUUGCGCAAUGGAGGAAACUCUGACGCAGCCAUGCCGCGUGCAGGAUUGACGGCCCUAUGGGUUGUAAACUGCUUUUCUGUGCCAUGAACCUUCCCUACGUGUAGGGAACUGACAGUAGCACAAGAACAAGCAUCGGCUAACUCCGUGCCAGCAGCCGCGGUAAUACGGAGGAUGCAAGCGUUAUCCGGAUUCACUAGGUUUAAAGGGUGCGUAGGCGGGAGGAUAAGUCAGUGGUGAAAGCCUGCGGCUCAACCGUAAAAUUGCCAUUGAUACUGUCCCCCUUGAGUCCGGCUGUGGUGAGUGGAAUGAGUAAUGUAGCGGUGAAAUGCUUAGAUAUUACUCAGAACUCCAAUCGCGAAGGCAGCUCACCAAACCGGCACUGACGCUGAGGCACGAAAGCGUGGGGAGCAAACAGGAUUAGAUACCCUGGUAGUCCACGCUGUAAACGUUGAUCACUCGUCGUUGGCAAUACAUCGUCAGCGGCUUAGCGAAAGCAUUAAGUGAUCCACCUGGGGAGUACGUCAGCAAUGAUGAAACUCAAAGGAAUUGACGGGGGCCCGCACAAGCGGAGGAACAUGUGGUUUAAUUCGAUGAUACGCGAGGAACCUUACCUGGGCUUAAAUGUAGAGUGCAUAGAGUGGAAACAUUCUUUUCCUUCGGGACCCUUUACAAGGUGCUGCAUGGUUGUCGUCAGCUCGUGCCGUGAGGUGUCGGGUUAAGUCCCAUAACGAGCGCAACCCCUAUCGUCAGUUGCCAUCACUUCGGGUGGGAACUCUGGCGAAACUGCCGGUGCAAACCGCGAGGAAGGUGGGGAUGACGUCAAAUCAGCACGGCCCUUAUGUCCAGGGCUACACACGUGUUACAAUGGCCGGUACAGUGGGACGCUACCACGCAAGUGGAGGCUAAUCUCUAAAACCGGUCUUAGUCCGGAUCGGAGUCUGCAACUCGACUCCGUGAAGCUGGAUUCGCUAGUAAUCGCACAUCAGCAAUGGUGCGGUGAAUACGUUCCCGGGCAUUGUACACACCGCCCGUCAAGCCAUGGAAGCUGGGGGUGCCUGAAGUCCGUAUCC